Cyprinodon tularosa is the source of this 4576-nucleotide long non-coding RNA. RefSeq lists it as uncharacterized. NCBI's taxonomy places the organism in Eukaryota, Metazoa, Chordata, Actinopteri, Cyprinodontiformes, Cyprinodontidae. The transcript is spliced from 4 exons. The record is from RefSeq and is a predicted model, not a curated record.
GCAACCCAACCCACUGCUUUUUUACAGUUGCACAUAGAGAUAGUUUUACUCUGAUAUGCCUUACCCUGGUGCUAUAGGUUUAUGAAGAGGGAACACCUAAGGAAAAGCAGCAUAGGAUAUCUGUAUUUCUCAUUUCUUAACAUUAGGAAUCAAAGCAUUAGGAAAGCAGAAAAAUGCCUUAGGAUAAAUUAGUAAGGGAGUUCACAUUGUUUAAUUCUAAGGAUAGAAACACAUAACGCUGUAUCUUUUUUUUCAAUUCACAAGAGGUUUAACCAGCAACCGAGAAGUUUCACCAAAAGAUUGAUCAUGUUUCAGCUGUUCAGGACUUAAUGACUGUUUGCCUGACCCCUGUCAAGUCAACGGGCCCUAGAAUUGGGUGUUCCGGGCAGCCCAGCCAUGCGGGAGAGUAGAGCUGUUUCUCCUCCACACUGAGAAGAGUCAGUUGAGGUGACUCUCCUUGGUGCCUCCCUCAGAAGGUGCUCCAGGAAUGUCUUACCAGGAGAAGGUCCAGGGACAGUCCAGGACAUGAUUGAGGCACUAUGUAUCUUGGUCGGCCUGGGAGCACCUUGGGCUUCCCCCAGCAGAGCUGGAGGAGGAUUCUGUGCAGAAGGAAGUCUGGGAGUCUCUGCUGAGACUGGAUAAAGAAGUUGACGAGUAUGAGUGCAAGUACUGGUGCCUAAAAUUUUAAAUGUUACAAGAAAAUUCUAAAUUAAAAGCACAAAAAUUAUGAAACAGAUUUAAUUUGUUGUACCCAAAGGGACUUCUCUUUAUCUACUAAAGUCUCCCUCUCUUGCUCUUUUGCAGCCUUAAUUAAAAAGAUGUCUCAAAAUGCUUGGAAAAUACAAGACUCUUUAGAUUUUUUUCUAAGAUCUUUGUAUUUUGACUUCACUCAUAAAAAAAAAAUUCAAAUAAUCUCAGGCACUCUUUCUCUUAGUAAUAACUUAUACCUAGGGCAACAUGUAUCACAAGCUUUAGAUAACAAAGGAUGCUUGUAAUUUAUUUAGCAAUACAAUUUAUGAAAUGUUCCUUUUUAGGAAAAUUUGAAUCAGAAAAAUUGCAAAGUGAAUUUUGUUAAAUUUUUUAUGCUACGCCAUCAGACAUAAAGUAAGUGAUAUGGUUUAUAACUAAACAAAUUUUAUGUAGUCUCGCUUUAGUGAUAACUGAGUGCCUUUCACUAAAAUCUCACCUUCGCUAUCCAUUUCUGUUUACACAUCCCACUACUUCAUCUCAGUCUUCUCCCUCCAUCAGUGUCUUCUUGGUCUCUUUGAAUCAAAUCGGAUGAAUCACAAAAGUAUUCUACUCCUUUAUUAUUGCUAUUUAAGCAUAGUAUUAAGUUUAAGUUAUAUUAAACAUCUUUGUGUACUUUGCAUUAUUUGGUUAAUUGCUUAAAAUGUGUAAUUCAGAGAAGACUUAAAAGUCAUUUAUAAUAAAGAUUAGCUUGACACUAAACUAAACUAAAUUUUUCUUCCAGGCAGCAGAGCAGGCUAUUAACUCUCCUUUUCUAGGUGGCUGCAAAUGCAUCUAUUAUCUAGAAAAAUGUUAUAGGCUCAUAAUCAGUAGGACAUUUUUGUUAGCCUCUUAUGAUGUUUUAAAGCUCUGGGGGAAUGUACAAUAUGAUGCGUCCAGUCAUUGGAAGCAGCAAAUAACUGAUGACCAUGAGGUCCCAACAUGGGUUGGAUUUACAGCUGUUCUAUAGGUAUACAAUACUAACACACUGCAAAAGGAGUCCAUCUAACCAAAUCUCAUAAUCUUCGAUCUAGCAAAAAAAGAAAGCAGCUUUUAAAUUCCUGUUUUAACAAGUUUUUUUUGAAGACAAGCAAGAAUGUUUGGUGCAUCGCUGUAGUUUACCUUAAUCUGACCCCUGAGGUUCUUGUCAGGCACUCCUACAUAAAUCCAUGGAGGAAUAAGAAGCUGCCAAAUUUCUUACUUUAGAUGGAGAACAAUUUAAUGCUUGCCUUUCACACUUGUCUGAUCUUUAAGUUGUCCUCAUCAUGUUCCUGUCAGAGACUCAGCAGCUUUGAAAACUAAAAUUGGGUUGAAUAACAUUUUUAGAAUACUUCUUUAGUAGAUAACCAGACAGUGCAGAUCAAAGACAACUUUCUGAGAAAAAAGUCUCAACAAAAGAACCCUAAUUUUCCCUUUUAUGAUAAGGAAAACACUUACAAAGUCAUUCUAAAAUGCUCUUACAAACAAAACAACAACAAAGUUUUAAUAUACAGUAGCAUGCCUUUUAACUGCAAUGAUGCUUUUUAUCAAGCCCAAUGUGAUGUUCAGGAUGUGCAAAUUAUGUGCCGUUUGUGUCAAAAGUUGAAAUUCCCAAGGAGCAUAUUUGAGGAGAGCCAAAGAGAACAGUGGUCUCAUGGCCAUUGAGAAAACAGACAACCUUUAGGAGUCCCUCUCUGAAACAAAGCUUGUGUGUAGCUCAUUUGUUGUCUCAUUUUCUAUUUUUUAAAGGGUUAAGUUAAUUUGGUGUGCCAAUCAGAUAAAUAAACUUAUUCAAAUAUCAGAUGAAAAUAACAUUACUAAAUUGCCAUGAUCCUGUUGUGUUAGGCUUUUGAGCUCCUUUGAUCUCUGUGUUUUUUUUCUCAUUCCCCUGGUGAUCAUGUUUUAUUACUCUUGUCAUUGUUUACCUUUUUUGCUUAGGUAUUUCUUGUAUACUUGUGCAUUUAGGAUUCUUUCUAAGAUUAUUUCCACUGUUUUUGUGUUUCUCUACACAGUUACUGUGUUUAUCUCUCACCUGACCCGCAACAUGCCUUUUCUCCUACCUUCUCCCCUGUAUAUAGACUGCCUGGUUUUCCCAUUGCAUUAGUUGGUUCUUCUGAGAUUUACUUCAUUCUCAACACUCCAUACCUCUUCUUAUGUUGUCUAUUCUGCCUAGUCCUGCUCCCAUCAAGCCUGGUUGUACGUUUUUGUGCAUUGUCAUCAUCUCCUUUAUACAUAAUAUUGCUCCUGACUUCCUGUGUGCGUUUUGGUCCUGCAAAAAUGAGGCAUUGUGUCUGGUAGACCUCUACAAUCAAAAUAUACAUCACUGAUAUAUCAGUGCAUCUACAUACAUGUAUGUAUCAAAUUUUGAAAUUAAGUUGUAGUGUAUCAGGUUUUCCAUGCUCAAAUCUGUGAAGUAAGGGCAAUAAAAAUGUAUUUUGGCAACAAACACUUAGCUAAAAUUUCUUGACAGUGGUGUAAAUAUAUUUUUUAAAUGGUAGUUAAUGCCUCCAAGGAUUGCACAACCAUACUAAUAGGUUUAGUUGGGGGCUUCUAAAUCUGUAUUUCCCUGUGAUGAACUGGCGACCUGUCCAGGCUGUAACCCAUCGUUUGCCCAAAGACUGCUCAAGAUAGGUACCAGCCCCACUGCGACCCUGAAGGUGAAGCAGGAGAAGAUGGAUGGAUGGAUGCUUAGGUUGCAAUUAACUUUUCCCACAAGGCAUGUUGGGUUAGUUACGUUUUCCCCUAAAUAAAAGCAAUAUAAUUUUCAAACUGCAUAUUAUAUAUGGUUGCAUUACAAUAUCUUGUCCAGAAUUUGUAGCAAUAUCUGAAAAAUGUAGGUGCAAAGAAAACAAAGCAGGGGAGUAAUGGCCUAGUGGUUAGAGCAGUGCACUUGUGCUCUGAGAAGGUUGCAAGUACCCGGUUUGAUCCCCACAGCUGGCACUCUAGGUCCCUGAGCAAUACCCUUAACCCUACACUGCUCCCCUGGCGCCGCACAGUAGCAGUCCACUGCUCCACAAGGUGAUGGGUUAAAUUAAAGAGGUAAAUUUCUUCAAUGUGAGAUCAAUAAAGUUCAAUUAUGCUCCUAGGGGAGUGGUGGCCUAGUGGUUAGGGCAUUGUGCUUGGGUUCCAGAGGUUCUGAGUUCAAACCCCACUCCCACAGACUGCAACUCUGGCCCCCUGUGCAAGACCCUUAACCUUACACUGCUUCCCAGGCACCGUACAAUGGCAGCCCACUGCUUUCCCAGGCAAUGGGUUAAAUGCAGAGUUAGUUUUGUUUCCUUGUACUUGUGACAGUAUAAUGACAAUAAAGUAGCAUUCGAAUAAGAUAAAUGUGUUACUGUGAAAAUGUUGUUUUCGUAAAACUACCCUCUAUUUAGUAAAAAAAAAACUUCAAGCAAUUCUUUUUAACUAUAUUACUAUAUAAAAUAUCUGUGUGCUUGUUUGUGCUGAUGCAUAUAUUGACACAUCAGUAAACUUUGUUUUAAGACCCUUUGCCCAGGGGCACAUUACAUGUGACAGAAGAAACCUGGAAUCAAACCUAAAUAUUUCAGAUUGGAAAUGACAACUCCUUUCACUGAGCACUUUAUUUUUGGUUCUGUAAUCUUUGCAGUCUUACAAAAACUCAUGUAUAAUAAGAAAACUGAAUUUAGGUUUGUAUGAAAUGAUUUCAGGUCAUCUAGCUAAAGUCAAACUUAGUCGACACUUUAGCUUAAAGGGUCCCUUGGGUCAAGGGUAGCAUAGCCUGCCUUGAAUGCAUUACCAGAUCAGCAAGGGAUGUUUGGAAUGACUGUAAUAUCUCAUAUUUCUGGCCUAUAACCAAAGUGGUUAAUGCACCAUAAAAUAGAUAAUAAAAUAGAAAAAUAGAAAUCCA